RNAcentral lists this ribosomal RNA (212 nucleotides) under uncultured bacterium. Its description in RNAcentral is "partial 16S ribosomal RNA". It matches the Rfam family "Bacterial small subunit ribosomal RNA", at positions 1288 to 1500 of the family's 1533-position model. The record is from RNAcentral.
ACGUUCGGAUCGCAGCCUGCAACCCGGCUGCGUGAAGCUGGAAUCGCUAGUAAUCGCGGACCAGAAUGCCGCGGUGAAUACGUUCCCGGGUCUUGUACACACCGCCCGUCACACCAUGGGAGCCGGAAACGCCCGAAGCCAGUGGCCUGACCGCGAGGAGGGAGCUGUCGAAGGCGGGUCCGGUGACCGGGGUGAAGUCGUAACAAGGUAUC